CUCUGGAGAACUCAUGCCUGAUCUGAAUGCAGUGUAUGCAAUGGAAGAAUAAUGCUGUGGUUUCUUUGUUCUAGGGAACACACAGCAAGUCCAGACCUUGUCUUCUUUCAGCAGUUGUGUUCGUUGAUGUCUUUCAUGGGAAGAUGCCAUGAGGGUGUCUGUGAGGAUGUGUGGAUGUCAACAAGCUGCCAUGGUGAUGGAGUGCAGAAGUAGCUCGAGUGCGCACAGCAAAUAAACAGUGCUUGUGGAGGCUCUGCAGAGCAGAUCAGUCACCUCUUUCCUCUGCCAUGGCUGACAUCUGUCCUGGGUUUGCAAACCAGCCCUCUUCCAAAUGACUUACAGCCCACCACGUAAUGAAGCUGAAUUAGAGACCUGUUCACAGAGCAGUGAAUACUGUUCUCUCACAGCAAAACUGAGCUACACAAGAGCACUCAAGGUGGGAACAAGCAAACAAGCACUGUUGAUUGAAGACUCACCCCAUGUGCAUCCGCUAAGUGCCGUGUAUCUGCACAAGAAAAAACACACGUCCUCAGCCUGGAAUGAACCCAGCAAAGAGAUGAGAGGAAUAAAGGAAAAGAGUGAUUACUGACAACAUCCAGACAAAAGCAGUAGCUUGGUGCUGUCAGCUUCUGCUCUGGCUUGUUAUUGCUGUGCCUCAGAA
This is a long non-coding RNA of Gallus gallus (chicken), 661 nucleotides long. The record is from Ensembl. NCBI's taxonomy places the organism in Eukaryota, Metazoa, Chordata, Aves, Galliformes, Phasianidae.